UAGGGAAUCUUCCACAAUGGGCGCAAGCCUGAUGGAGCAACGCCGCGUGAGUGAAGAAGGUCUUCGGAUCGUAAAACUCUGUUGUUAGAGAAGAACAUGCAGGAGAGUAACUGUUCUUGUAUUGACGGUAUCUAACCAGAAAGCCACGGCUAACUACGCGCCAG
Molecule: ribosomal RNA, 164 nt
Filed under: uncultured bacterium
Lineage: Bacteria
Description: partial 16S rRNA
Rfam family: Bacterial small subunit ribosomal RNA
Source: RNAcentral